AGGGAGAUCGUCUCGGGCAUACAGUAUUGUCAGGUGCAUGUAGCCAGACCUGAUCUCCCUGC
This 62-nucleotide microRNA precursor is filed under the name Branchiostoma lanceolatum (amphioxus). RNAcentral's name for it is "Bla-Mir-4864_pre stem-loop". Lineage: Eukaryota; Metazoa; Chordata; Leptocardii; Amphioxiformes; Branchiostomatidae. The record is from RNAcentral.